AGAGUUUGAUCCUGGCUCAGGACGAACGCUGGCGGCGUGCCUAAUACAUGCAAGUCGAACGAACUCUGGUAUUGAUUGGUGCUUGCAUCAUGAUUUACAUUUGAGUGAGUGGCGAACUGGUGAGUAACACGUGGGAAACCUGCCCAGAAGCGGGGGAUAACACCUGGAAACAGAUGCUAAUACCGCAUAACAACUUGGACCGCAUGGUCCGAGUUUGAAAGAUGGCUUCGGCUAUCACUUUUGGAUGGUCCCGCGGCGUAUUAGCUAGAUGGUGGGGUAACGGCUCACCAUGGCAAUGAUACGUAGCCGACCUGAGAGGGUAAUCGGCCACAUUGGGACUGAGACACGGCCCAAACUCCUACGGGAGGCAGCAGUAGGGAAUCUUCCACAAUGGACGAAAGUCUGAUGGAGCAACGCCGCGUGAGUGAAGAAGGGUUUCGGCUCGUAAAACUCUGUUGUUAAAGAAGAACAUAUCUGAGAGUAACUGUUCAGGUAUUGACGGUAUUUAACCAGAAAGCCACGGCUAACUACGUGCCAGCAGCCGCGGUAAUACGUAGGUGGCAAGCGUUGUCCGGAUUUAUUGGGCGUAAAGCGAGCGCAGGCGGUUUUUUAAGUCUGAUGUGAAAGCCUUCGGCUCAACCGAAGAAGUGCAUCGGAAACUGGGAAACUUGAGUGCAGAAGAGGACAGUGGAACUCCAUGUGUAGCGGUGAAAUGCGUAGAUAUAUGGAAGAACACCAGUGGCGAAGGCGGCUGUCUGGUCUGUAACUGACGCUGAGGCUCGAAAGUAUGGGUAGCAAACAGGAUUAGAUACCCUGGUAGUCCAUACCGUAAACGAUGAAUGCUAAGUGUUGGAGGGUUUCCGCCCUUCAGUGCUGCAGCUAACGCAUUAAGCAUUCCGCCUGGGGAGUACGGCCGCAAGGCUGAAACUCAAAGGAAUUGACGGGGGCCCGCACAAGCGGUGGAGCAUGUGGUUUAAUUCGAAGCUACGCGAAGAACCUUACCAGGUCUUGACAUACUAUGCAAAUCUAAGAGAUUAGACGUUCCCUUCGGGGACAUGGAUACAGGUGGUGCAUGGUUGUCGUCAGCUCGUGUCGUGAGAUGUUGGGUUAAGUCCCGCAACGAGCGCAACCCUUAUUAUCAGUUGCCAGCAUUAAGUUGGGCACUCUGGUGAGACUGCCGGUGACAAACCGGAGGAAGGUGGGGAUGACGUCAAAUCAUCAUGCCCCUUAUGACCUGGGCUACACACGUGCUACAAUGGAUGGUACAACGAGUUGCGAACUCGCGAGAGUAAGCUAAUCUCUUAAAGCCAUUCUCAGUUCGGAUUGUAGGCUGCAACUCGCCUACAUGAAGUCGGAAUCGCUAGUAAUCGCGGAUCAGCAUGCCGCGGUGAAUACGUUCCCGGGCCUUGUACACACCGCCCGUCACACCAUGAGAGUUUGUAACACCCAAAGUCGGUGGGGUAACCUUUUAGGAACCAGCCGCCUAAGGUGGGACAGAUGAUUAGGGUGAAGUCGUAACAAGGUAACC
RNAcentral lists this ribosomal RNA (1528 nucleotides) under Lactiplantibacillus plantarum subsp. plantarum. RNAcentral's name for it is "Lactobacillus plantarum subsp. plantarum 16S ribosomal RNA". It matches the Rfam family "Bacterial small subunit ribosomal RNA". The record is from RNAcentral. Lineage: Bacteria; Bacillati; Bacillota; Bacilli; Lactobacillales; Lactobacillaceae.